UCAUUAAUUUUUAUUAAGAGUGGAAAU
This 27-nucleotide non-coding RNA is filed under the name Rattus norvegicus (Norway rat). Lineage: Eukaryota; Metazoa; Chordata; Mammalia; Rodentia; Muridae. The record is from RNAcentral.